CUAUCAGCGCUCCUUUCUGCAUCCAUCAACUCACUAUCUGAAAGGCUGCAGCUGCUAAAUAGCGGUAGUCACACCUGUGACGCCCCUGCAAGCCGCAGCUGGCGCACGUGACUGAAUUCCGCGCGUUGUGUGAUCCGUAGCUUAAGACAGGCACAACAUCAACAAUUACACCGACGCCGUCGCGUCAUAGUUCACACUCUACUCUUUCCCUCCUUCAGCCCACUAGUCACUACAUGUUCAAGGGACUGCUGUGUCCUGUUCUGGAGAGACGAGCAGCACGACGGCUUGCCACCGUCGCCAACAGCGCUUGCCGCGGCGGCCGGCAACGCUCGCGUGAGACGGUGCUGGAGUCCACUCGACUUCUGGAGAAACUGCAGAAACGCCAAGGGCCGGGGCGCACACGAACUGCACAGCAGCGCGCGUGGCGCAGUGGGCUCACCAACCCACUGAGCUCGGCCGAGUCGUCCGCAGCGGCGCAGGCAGACGCGCUAGCGCAAGAGGAAGCGAACUGGCGGGCCGCAGAUCCGCUGCGCAAAUGGAAGGACGAGUCCGAAGAGUUACGGCGGCGGCAGCAGGGGGCAGGGGAUGGGGCGCACUCCGUCCCCGGGUCCGCACAGCCGACCUCGUCAUCGCACUAUGACGCCGUGAAUGCGGACACCGGCAACAGCGCUGUGCAGGAGCGUUUUGAUGCUCUUGUGCACCGCGCGCUGCUCCGCUACGGUCCGCCGCUGCCGGUGGAGGUGGUCAUGAACAACAACGUGAUAUCCGCCGCCUCCUUCGCAUCAGGCACGCGCCGAGCUGCGCAGCACAGCUACUCUGACGCAAAUGUCGCCUCUGACAAGGGCGCGGACGACUCUAGCGCCGUGUACUAUGAUGAGGUGGCGCUCAAGCUGCACGAGCUCAUGACGAUUCUCCGCAAAGAAGAACCGCACUUCAGCUUACGGGACGACUGCGACGGGGUGCCGCUCUCCUUGAUGGUGAAGAACUGCUGCUACCUGCGUGCCUUUGGUGGCAAGGUGAACUACAUGCGCUUUGUGCGACGCCUGCGCGCGGAUGAGCUGCAGUCGGGCGGCAACAAUCAAGGUGGAGGGGUGCAAGGCGGACACGAGGCAAACGCGGCAGUGGUAUCGCUUGGCAAGUACAUGAUGCGCGAGCUGCCUUCGCAGGACGGACUCCGUAAAGGUCCUCAGCCGUGGCGCUACACUUAUCGAAUGAUCUGAGUCGUGCUCAAGGUAGGGGUUGUCCGUCUUUGCCUGCGCUUGCGCCUAUGUGUAUGUGUUGCGCCCAUUUUGGGGGAGGGGUAAGUAAAGGCUGGGCUGUAAAGGCUCUGCCGUCUGCCUUCUCCCCACCCAUCCACUUCCGCCUCUCUUCCUCUGUGUCCAUGUCCUUUCACACAACCGACUGCGGCGGCACCGCUGCGCCAGCAACCUCCUCGUCAGCUUUUGCACUCGCUGCGCAUCAGUGGGUGCGUGCGUGGGGGAGUUGCGCCUCUGUAGCGUUUCUCCCUCCACUCGCUGUGCGCCCCUGAACCCUGGUGAGGACGCGCGUUCGUCUCCACGUUUACACUACACUAACGGGGCAUCAAGUUUCCGUGUUGCUUUCAUUGCCUCGCUGCUCCCGCACCGCACAUCGGCCUAGCGCCAUCUCCCUCCCUCCCCCUUCGCCCGUCGAUGUUUGGGGCUCACACGCUUGCUGCCCGCGACCGUAAUUCGAUAACCGGCGCGUGACAG
RNAcentral lists this unclassified non-coding RNA (1730 nucleotides) under Leishmania donovani. RNAcentral describes it as "gene:LdHU3.03.1030(CDS-product:hypothetical_prote in_conserved)". The record is from RNAcentral. Lineage: Eukaryota; Euglenozoa; Kinetoplastea; Trypanosomatida; Trypanosomatidae.